AUUGAACGCUGGCGGCAGGCCUAACACAUGCAAGUCGAGCGAGCGGCGGACGGGUGAGUAAUGCCUGGGAAACUGCCUGCUGGAGGGGGAUAACUACUGGAAACGGUAGCUAAUAACCCCUACCAUCUGCUUUGCCCAGGUGGGAUAGGCUAGUAGGUUGGGUAACGGCUCACCUAGGCGACGAUCCCUAGCUGGUCGGAGAGGAUGACCGGCAAACCUGGAACGGGGACACGGUCAGAACUCCAACGGGGGGCAGCGGUGGGGAAUAUUGCACAAGGGGCGCAAGCCUGAUGCGGACAUGCCGCUGAGGGGAAGAAGGCCUUCGGGUUGUAAAGCACUUUCAGCGGGGAGGCGUUACCCGCAGAAGAAGCACCGGCUAACUCCGUGCCAGCAGCCGCGGUAAUUC
Molecule: ribosomal RNA, 406 nt
Filed under: uncultured bacterium
Lineage: Bacteria
Description: partial 16S ribosomal RNA
Rfam family: Bacterial small subunit ribosomal RNA
Source: RNAcentral